This 862-nucleotide ribosomal RNA is filed under the name uncultured archaeon. RNAcentral's name for it is "bacterial SSU rRNA". It matches the Rfam family "Archaeal small subunit ribosomal RNA", at positions 52 to 922 of the family's 1478-position model. The record is from RNAcentral.
UGCGAGUCGACACAGCAAUGUGUGGCAUACGGCUCAGUAACACGUAGUCAACAUGCCCAGGGGACGUGGAUAACCUCGGGAAACUGAGGCUAAACCGCGAUAGGUCACUACUUCUGGAAUGGGUAAUGACCCAAACCUAUAUGGCCCCUGGAUUGGACUGCGGCCGAUCAGGCUGUUGGUGAGGUAAUGGCCCACCAAACCUGUAACCGGUACGGGCUCUGAGAGGAGGAGCCCGGAGAUGGGCACUGAGACAAGGGCCCAGGCCCUAUGGGGCGCAGCAGGCGCGAAACCUCUGCAAUAGGCGGAAGCUUGACAGGGUUACUCUGAGUGAUUUCCGUUAAGGAGAUCUUUUGGCACCUCUAAAAAUGGUGCAGAAUAAGGGGUGGGCAAGUCUGGUGUCAGCCGCCGCGGUAAUACCAGCACCCCGAGUGGUCGGGACGUUUAUUGGGCCUAAAGCAUCCGUAGCCGGUUCCGCAAGUCUUCCGUUAAAUCCACCUGCUCAACAGAUGGGCUGCGGAAGAUACUAUGGAGCUAGGAGGCGGGAGAGGCAAGCGGUACUCGAUGGGUAGGGGUAAAAUCCGUUGAUCCAUUGAAGACCACCAGUGGCGAAGGCGGCUUGCCAGAACGCGCUCGACGGUGAGGGAUGAAAGCUGGGGGAGCAAACCGGAUUAGAUACCCGGGUAGUCCCAGCUGUAAACGAUGCAGACUCGGUGAUGAGUUGGCUUUAUGCCAACUCAGUGCCGCAGGGAAGCCGUUAAGUUUGCCGCCUGGGGAGUACGGUCGCAAGACUGAAACUUAAAGGAAUUGGCGGGGGAGCACCACAAGGGGUGAAGCCUGCGGUUCAAUUGGAGUCAACGCCGGG